AACCGCGGUUAUACGAGAGGCCCAAGUUGAUAGACAACGGCGUAAAGAGUGGUUAGAACUAUAUUAAACUAGAGCCGAACACCUCUGCACCGCUGUCUAAAGCCUACAGGGGUAAGAAGUACUUCUACGAAAGUGACUCUAAGAAAUUUUUAACCCACGAGAGCUAGGGAA
Molecule: ribosomal RNA, 171 nt
Filed under: Trichonotus sp. BSKU:65703
Lineage: Eukaryota; Metazoa; Chordata; Actinopteri; Gobiiformes; Trichonotidae
Description: partial 12S rRNA
Source: RNAcentral